This 28-nucleotide non-coding RNA is filed under the name Mus musculus (house mouse). Lineage: Eukaryota; Metazoa; Chordata; Mammalia; Rodentia; Muridae. The record is from RNAcentral.
UGGGCCUAGUCUGUGUGAUCUGUGGGAU